AUGCUAUGGUUUCCAUCCCUCAUAAACCAAGUCCACUGGCUUUGGAAGUCACCAUGGCCACCUCCCGGACAAGAGCAGACAAGUGAGAGUGUAGAGGUGAACCAUGGCAGCAAGAACUUUGUCGACUGCGUCGGCCAUGGAGUUCAGGGCCUCACGCCUAAGGAGACCCUCACCGGCGUAUCCUCCGAGCUCGCUUCCCCUAUGAUGCGUGGUGCAGACAACGGAGUUGUCAUUAUCGACACCAGCAGCCUUGCCGCUCCGGCGCUAACCACAUGCUUGAAGGAGCGCCCGAGUCGUGACGCCACCGUCAACAUCUUCCCCGAGCUUGCUGCCUCUGAUGUAUGCUACGAGGCCAUCAACACCGACAUCGUCAGUAUCAUGGCACCACCGCCCGCCACCUGUUCUAAGGGUCUGAUCCAUGACGGCAUCAAUGAUCCCGUGGCGGUGCAGAUGCUCAGGCCAUCGCCAUGGCCUUCGUUCGUCACUGAGCACACAAGUACUGCUUGUAGCAGCAGCAUUGAGCCACCACUGAGUGCCGCCACUGCGUCGUGCAGGAAAAUGUUUCCAAACUAUGGGGAAAUCACUCUUGAUACAAUGGAAUCAAGGGUCUUGCGAGUAAUGGAUUUCCUACAGCAUUGCAAUCAUUUGAACUAUGAAUAUGGCCUACACUGUUUAUUGGGUGGAAUUCUCAUGGAGGCUGCAAAUAAUUUCAAGGACGGAGUUGUCUGGUUGCCUCUCGAUUCUGAUCAAGAGGGCAGCUCCUUGCUACUGGUACCAUUGUUGUUCAGCCUAUGA
RNAcentral lists this ribosomal RNA (795 nucleotides) under Triticum aestivum (bread wheat). RNAcentral describes it as "partial small subunit ribosomal RNA". The record is from RNAcentral. Lineage: Eukaryota; Viridiplantae; Streptophyta; Magnoliopsida; Poales; Poaceae.